RNAcentral lists this unclassified non-coding RNA (333 nucleotides) under uncultured Microascaceae. Its description in RNAcentral is "sequence contains ITS1". The stretch from base 1 to 105 matches the Rfam family "5.8S ribosomal RNA", at positions 50 to 154 of the family's 154-position model. Lineage: Eukaryota; Fungi; Ascomycota; Sordariomycetes; Microascales. The record is from RNAcentral.
GAAAUGCGAUAAGUAAUGUGAAUUGCAGAAUUCAGUGAAUCAUCGAAUCUUUGAACGCACAUUGCGCCCGGCAGUAAUCUGCCGGGCAUGCCUGUCCGAGCGUCAUUUCAACCCUCGAACCCCGGUUUUCUUUAUGGAUCCCGGGGAUCGGUGUUGGGGCACUACGGAGGUCUUCUGACCACCGUAGGCUUCGAAAUACAGUGGCGGUCCCGCCGCGGCGCCCUCUGCGUAGUAAUUUUCACCUCGCAUUGGGUCCCGGCGAAGGCCAGCCGUCAAACCCUCUAUUUUCUAUGGUUUGACCUCGGAUCAGGUAGGGUUACCCGCUGAACUUAA